This 75-nucleotide non-coding RNA is filed under the name uncultured Paenibacillus sp. Its description in RNAcentral is "Cyclic di-GMP-I riboswitch". It matches the Rfam family "c-di-GMP-I riboswitch aptamer", at positions 8 to 81 of the family's 87-position model. Rfam says of the family: GEMM was predicted in a large-scale screen for bacterial structured RNA regulatory elements. Genes associated with GEMM are involved in a diverse array of functions, including chemotaxis regulation, signal transduction, secretion and chitin. The record is from RNAcentral. Lineage: Bacteria; Bacillati; Bacillota; Bacilli; Caryophanales; Paenibacillaceae.
GGAAGGGCAAACUUGCCGAAAGACAAGGACGCAAAGCCACGGGCCUAACGUAACGAAUACCAAGGCAGCCGGGUU